This 497-nucleotide ribosomal RNA is filed under the name uncultured bacterium. RNAcentral's name for it is "partial 16S ribosomal RNA". It matches the Rfam family "Bacterial small subunit ribosomal RNA", at positions 28 to 507 of the family's 1533-position model. The record is from RNAcentral.
GAUGAACGCUGGCGGCGUGCCUAAUACAUGCAAGUCGAGCGAACAGACGAGGAGCUUGCUCCUCUGACGUUAGCGGCGGACGGGUGAGUAACACGUGGAUAACCUACCUAUAAGACUGGGAUAACUUCGGGAAACCGGAGCUAAUACCGGAUAACAUGUUGAACCGCAUGGUUCAACAGUGAAAGACGGUCUUGCUGUCACUUAUAGAUGGAUCCGCGCCGCAUUAGCUAGUUGGUAAGGUAACGGCUUACCAAGGCAACGAUGCGUAGCCGACCUGAGAGGGUGAUCGGCCACACUGGAACUGGGACACGGUCCAAACUCCUAAGGGAGGCAGCCGUAGGGAAUCUUCCGCAAUGGGCGGAAGCCUGACGGAGCAACGCCGCGUUAGUGAAAAAGGUCUUCCGAUCGUAAAACUCUGUUAUUAGGGAAGAACAAAUUUGUAAGUAACUAUGCACGUCUUGACGGUACCUAAUCAGAAAGCCACGGCUAACUACGUG